AUGCCUGGCCAUGCGCUGCUGAGCAGCAUGCUGCUGGUGGUGAUGGCGCAUCUCUCGCGCGCCGAUGGAGCAGUAGGCACGGGUAAGAGCAAGAUCUCAGCCGUCUUCAUGUUCGGCGACUCGAUCGUCGAUCCAGGCAACAACAACAACCGGCUGACGGAGGCGAGGGCCAACUUCCCGCCGUACGGGCAGGACUUCCCUGGCGGGAAGGCCACCGGGAGGUUCUCCAAUGGCAGGGUUCCUGGGGACAUGCUAGCUUCUAAAUUAGGAGUCAAAGAGUUCUUACCACCGUACAAUGGAGAUGAUCUUGAACUAAGUGACCUACUUACUGGUGUCGCAUUUGCCUCUGGAGGCAGUGGAUAUGACCCCUUAACUUCAAUACCCGCAACUGCUACUUCAAGUACUGGGCAACUUGAAUUAUUUCUUGAAUAUAAGGAGAAGCUAAAAACUUUAGUCGGAGAGGAGGAAGCCACACGUGUUAUCUCUGAAGGCAUUUACUUUACUGCCAUGGGUGCAAAUGACAUUGCAAAUAAUUAUUUUUCAAUUCCACUGAGGCGCCAUCAAUAUGAUCUUCCUUCCUACGUGAAUUUUCUUAUCUCUUCCGCGGUAAAUUUUACUAUGAAAUUAAAUGAUUUUGGUGCAAAGAGGAUUGGAUUCUUCGGCAUUCCGCCAAUUGGAUGUUGUCCGUCCCAAAGAAAACAUGGAUCAAGAGAAUGUGACACGCUUCAGAAUCAAGCAGCAGAAUUAUUCAAUUCUGGAAUAGAAAAGGAAAUUGAACGAUUAAAUGCAGAACGAAAUGUUCAUGAUUCAAGGUUUGCUUAUCUUGAUAUAUACUACAACCUUCUUGAUCUCAUUAAACAACAUGAUUUUUAUGGUUUCAAGGAGGUAACUGAGGGGUGUUGUGGCAGCAAUGUGCUAAAUGCGGCAAUAUUCAUUCAAUACCACCCUGCAUGUCCAAACGCUUAUGACUAUAUUUUUUGGGAUAGCUUUCAUUGUACUGAAAAGGCCUACAACAUUGUGAUUGAUGAGAUCUUCCAGCAAAACCUACACUACCUAAUGUGA
This 1062-nucleotide ribosomal RNA is filed under the name Triticum aestivum (bread wheat). Its description in RNAcentral is "partial small subunit ribosomal RNA". Lineage: Eukaryota; Viridiplantae; Streptophyta; Magnoliopsida; Poales; Poaceae. The record is from RNAcentral.